AACGAACGCUGGCGGCAUGCCUAACACAUGCAAGUCGAACGAGACCUUCGGGUCUAGUGGCGCACGGGUGCGUAACGCGUGGGAACCUGCCUUUAGGUUCGGAAUAACUCAGAGAAAUUUGAGCUAAUACCGGAUGAUGUCUUCGGACCAAAGAUUUAUCGCCUUUAGAUGGGCCCGCGUUGGAUUAGCUAGUUGGUGGGGUAAAGGCCUACCAAGGCGACGAUCCAUAGCUGGUCUGAGAGGAUGAUCAGCCACACUGGGACUGAGACACGGCCCAGACUCCUACGGGAAGCAGCAGUGGGGAAUAUUGGACAAUGGGCGAAAGCCUGAUCCAGCAAUGCCGCGUGAGUGAUGAAGGCCUUAGGGUUGUAAGGCUCUUUUACCCGAGAUGAUAAUGACAGUAUCGGGAGAAUAAGCGCCGGCUAACUCCGUG
Molecule: ribosomal RNA, 433 nt
Filed under: uncultured bacterium
Lineage: Bacteria
Description: partial 16S ribosomal RNA
Rfam family: Bacterial small subunit ribosomal RNA
Source: RNAcentral